Culex quinquefasciatus (southern house mosquito) is the source of this 3207-nucleotide RNA transcript. It is a transcript of the gene named myb-like protein Q, with no coding region annotated. The record is from RefSeq and is a predicted model, not a curated record. The transcript has 8 exons. NCBI's taxonomy places the organism in Eukaryota, Metazoa, Arthropoda, Insecta, Diptera, Culicidae.
GUCGAAGGCUAAAUCAUUCUCCAAACGUCAGUCGACUGCACCGGACACGCUCCAGAGUCCAGAGUCCGGACUCUGCUGGUCACCAAGGAGCUGGCCUGACACCGGAACAAGAGUUUUCCUUUCUGGCCAGAUUAGUUAGGACUUUUUCUCCUGUAUUUUUUGGAAAUGUGGUGUAGUGAAUUCAAAGUAGGCUAGUGAAGGGCAAAUUUGAACAAUUGUUUGGUGUUUUAAAGAAGAAAAUUUGAAGUAAUUUUUCACGAGGAAAAACAAAAAAAAACGCAGAAAAAUAAAGUCCCGUGAAAAUUUUAACAUUUCCCAGAAAAGAACAACACUCGGAACGACAAACGCUCAAAUUUAGGCAACACGCACAGCCAAAAACGUGAUCCAAAAUAGAGACUCGAAAUUCGAAAAUAAGGGUUGGAAAAUUUUCCUCCUCAAAGCCAGCAAGCAGCAGCAGCCAGAAAGCGAUCGAUAAAUCGUCCCCUUUGCUCAACGUGUAUGUGUGUGUGUGUGUGCGUUUGAGGAAAAGUCUCUUGCACACUUGUCGUAGCAAGCGGUGCGAGGACUCUUUGCCUCGUUCUCGGAAAACACACGCACAAGACAUUUCCACCGCACUGAGUGUGUGUUUGAUUGUUUGUGUGUCCGUCGUGGUGGGGUGAGUGGACCGGACUUACUGCGACGGAAUGUAGAAUUCGAAGAGAGAACUUGCACAGUGCAUCCGAGCAACUCUGCACUGAGUUCCGGUGAGUUCCCCUCGCUCACCAAUACUCCUAAAGUGCUGCAACCGGCAGCAACGUUCGCGACGUUCGCUUGUGUGUUUGCGGGUUUUCCUGAGUGACUAAAGGAAAAAAAGAAGUAAAAAGCAAAGCAAAAAAAGCGCGCGCAUUUUUCGCGAUGAAUUUAUUGUUUUGAGGGAAAACCCCGCGCUAAGGACGCACAGCUAAUGUUUACAAAUAUUGGCGUGGAAAAAGGAGAGCGAGGAAACCCUUUCCCUGCAACGAUGGGGUGGCGUGGCGGUAAAGUGAGCACGUGGUGGGUGGCGAUGCAGGGCAGCACGCGUGGUUCGUGCUGAGCAGCAGACAUAUUGACAGGACUUGAAGCGGUGUUCAAAGGGAAGAAUCUCAACUUUAAACAGACAGAGUGCGAAAGAAGAUUGACGAUUUUUGUGAGGGGUGGGUCGGAAAAAGAUGUCCGACUUGAUGAUUCCAACCAGCCACCACCAACAACAACAGCAACAACACCAUCUUCAACAGCAGCAUCAAAGUGAACAGCAGCAGCAGCAAACAUCGUCCACCGGAAGUGAAGAGCUCAACUUUACCGCCUUUAUCGAUCUGUGCCGGUUCUGUUCCAUCAAGAGUGGACCCCGGCUGAACAUCUUCGACAAGGAGGCGGAACAGCGCCAGCUACUGUUCAAGAUCCGGAACAUUUUGCCGAUUGUGAUAAACAAGGAGGACUUUCUGCCGAAAAAGAUCUGCGACCGGUGCCUGGCCAAGAUCGAGCAGUUCUUCGAAUGGCGCACCAACUGCGUCCAAACCGACGCCAUUCUGCGUAACUACGCCGACUCGAUGCGGGUGGUGACGGCCACGAUAAACUUUCAGGACGGUACGGUAAACAUUGACAAGAUGACGCCCGCGCAGAAGAAUGCCUACCUCGAGGCGCACAUGGCCGUGCAGCAGCAGAUGAUGCAGGCAGCCCAGCAACUUCAUCAGCAACACCAGCAACAGCAGCAGCAGCAGCAGCAACAGCAACAACUGCAGCCGAUUGUCCAAAUUCAGCAUAGUUCGUCCAGGUCGGCCAAGAAGUCGAAGCCGAACAGCCACGAGAGCCAGCCGGUGCUGCAGUUUCACCACCAGCAGGUGCUGCCGCACGUUCCGCAGCACCAGCAGCAACAACAACAACAGUCCAACCAGCACGGACAUCAACAGCAGCAGCAGCAUCAGCAACAGUCCGCAACUCCGACGACAAACCCGCUCACGUUGACGCACUACGCCCACACGAUCAAGGUGCCGCAGCUCAACACCAUCAUCUCCAACUCCAACUCCACCGCCGCCACCACCACGAACGCUCCGACGCCGACGACGACCGCGACCGGGACCGGGGGGGACAGCACCAGUACCUUCACCGUCCCGGACGACGUCGGUAUGGGUUAUGAAGGUGGAGUACGCGUUCUUCAAAGUUUGGGGAAUUGGUCACCGGAGAUACCGGCCAACAUUCCGCGGCCAAACCUUAUUCCCUUUACAGAACCGUACGCCGAGGGGCUCGAUGCACCGGGAACGCGGCUGAAAGCGCUCCAGCAGGUUCAGCAGUCCUCGUCCAAGUCGAAGAGUUCCGCAAACAGUAAGGCCAAGGCCCCGGCGGCCGUCCCGACGGGCCCACCCAAGCCGGUCUUUGAGUGCACCGUCUGCGGUAAGGGCCUAGCCCGGAAGGACAAACUGACGAUCCACAUGAGGAUCCACACGGGCGAAAAGCCCUACAUCUGCGAGGUUUGCGAUCGGGCCUUUGCGCGGCGCGACAAGCUGGUGAUCCACAUGAACAAGUUCAAACAUGUCACGCCGACCAACAUUGCGCCGCUCGGGAAGAGGCAGAACUGUAAUGUGAAAAAAGAAGAAACCAAAAGCGAAGACAAUAAACCGUUGCUAAUUGACCACCACGCCCUGGCCACCCAAACCCUAACAACAGUGGUCAACAACAUCUCCCAACAACAACAGCAACAACAGUCAUCCCUUCAACAACAGCAGCAACAAUCUACGAUCCCCGGCGGAAUGACCCUGCAGCACCACCAGCAGCAGCACCAACUGUCCUGGACCUGCGAGCUGUGCGGCCGGAUGUUCCCGAGCCGGGACGAGUGGACUCUGCACGCCAAGAGCCACUUGGAAGUAGUAUUGACAGCAAACAACGGGCAGCAGUGGGGUGGUGGUGACGUCUGUGGGUGGGACGACGACGACGGGAGGUAGCAACGGCGAGGGGAGUGGUAGCGGAUCUGGAAGUUCCGGUAAUGGCAGCAGCAGUGGCAGUAGCAGCAACAACAAUAAUACCAACAGAGACAAGAAUCUGCAGGCGAUCACGGAGACCUUCUACGGUUCCACCAUCGCGGGCAACGGCCCCGCGGGCCCUCACGGCAUAGUGAUCCCGCACCAGGGUGGCAUCGUGACGAUCCAGUCCAGCCAUCAGCCGCCCCCACAUCUGCUGCAGCAGGUCGUCAACAGU